RNAcentral lists this ribosomal RNA (258 nucleotides) under uncultured bacterium. RNAcentral's name for it is "partial 16S ribosomal RNA". It matches the Rfam family "Bacterial small subunit ribosomal RNA", at positions 524 to 776 of the family's 1533-position model. The record is from RNAcentral.
UACGUAGGGUGCGAGCGUUGUCCGGAAUUAUUGGGCGUAAAGAGCUUGUAGGCGGUUUGUCGCGUCUGCUGUGAAAACCCGCAGCUCAACUGUGGGCUUGCAGCUGAUAACGGGCAGGCUUGAGUUCGGUAGGGGAGACUGGGAAUUCUGGAUGUAGCGGUGAAAUGCGCAGAGUAUCAGGAGGAACACCGGUGGCGAAGGCGGGUCUCUGGGGCCGAUGACUGACGCUGGAGGAGCGAAAGCGUGGGAGCGAACAGG